This 1456-nucleotide ribosomal RNA is filed under the name Burkholderia anthina. RNAcentral's name for it is "partial 23S ribosomal RNA". It matches the Rfam family "Bacterial large subunit ribosomal RNA", at positions 1 to 1502 of the family's 2925-position model. Lineage: Bacteria; Pseudomonadati; Pseudomonadota; Betaproteobacteria; Burkholderiales; Burkholderiaceae. The record is from RNAcentral.
GUUAUAGGGUCAAGCGAACAAGUGCAUGUGGUGGAUGCCUUGGCGAUCACAGGCGAUGAAGGACGCGGUAGCCUGCGAAAAGCUACGGGGAGCUGGCAAACGAGCUUUGAUCCGUAGAUGUCCGAAUGGGGAAACCCACUCCUUAUGGAGUAUCCAUGGCUGAAUACAUAGGCCAUGUGAAGCGAACGCGGUGAACUGAAACAUCUAAGUAACCGCAGGAAAAGAAAUCAACCGAGAUUCCCAAAGUAGUGGCGAGCGAAAUGGGAUGAGCCUUGCACUCUUUAUUUGUAUUGUUAGCCGAACGCUCUGGAAAGUGCGGCCAUAGCAGGUGAUAGCCCUGUAGGCGAAAACAGUAUGAAAGAACUAGGUGUGCGACAAGUAGGGCGGGACACGUGAAAUCCUGUCUGAAGAUGGGGGGACCAUCCUCCAAGGCUAAAUACUCGUGAUCGACCGAUAGUGAACCAGUACCGUGAGGGAAAGGCGAAAAGAACCCCGGGAGGGGAGUGAAAUAGAUCCUGAAACCGCAUGCAUACAAACAGUCGGAGCCUCGUAAGGGGUGACGGCGUACCUUUUGUAUAAUGGGUCAGCGACUUACGUUCAGUAGCAAGCUUAACCGUAUAGGGCAGGCGUAGCGAAAGCGAGUCCGAAUAGGGCGUUCAGUUGCUGGGCGUAGACCCGAAACCAGGUGAUCUAUCCAUGGCCAGGAUGAAGGUGCGGUAACACGUACUGGAGGUCCGAACCCACUAACGUUGAAAAGUUAGGGGAUGAGCUGUGGAUAGGGGUGAAAGGCUAAACAAACCUGGAAAUAGCUGGUUCUCUCCGAAAACUAUUUAGGUAGUGCCUCGUGUCUCACCUUCGGGGGUAGAGCACUGUCAUGGUUGGGGGGUCUAUUGCAGAUUACCCCGCCAUAGCAAACUCCGAAUACCGAAGAGUGCAAUCACGGGAGACAGACAUCGGGUGCUAACGUCCGGUGUCAAGAGGGAAACAACCCAGACCGCCAGCUAAGGUCCCCAAAUAUAGCUAAGUGGGAAACGAAGUGGGAAGGCUAAAACAGUCAGGAGGUUGGCUUAGAAGCAGCCACCCUUUAAAGAAAGCGUAAUAGCUCACUGAUCGAGUCGUCCUGCGCGGAAGAUGUAACGGGGCUAAGCUAUAUACCGAAGCUGCGGAUGCGAGCUUGCUCGCAUGGUAGGAGAGCGUUCCGUAAGCCUGCGAAGGUGCCUUGUAAAGGGUGCUGGAGGUAUCGGAAGUGCGAAUGCUGACAUGAGUAGCGAUAAAGGGGGUGAAAGGCCCCCUCGCCGUAAGCCCAAGGUUUCCUACGCAACGUUCAUCGGCGUAGGGUGAGUCGGCCCCUAAGGCGAGGCAGAAAUGCGUAGCUGAUGGGAAGCAGGUCAAUAUUCCUGCACCAUUGUUAGAUGCGAUGGGGGGACGGAUCGCGGAAGGUUGUCCGGGUGUUGGA